UAUGUAUUGUGCAAGGCACAAAAAUGCCAGACCAGAAUAAAGCAUGUUUUCUUUAUCUUUCAAUAUUAAAAACAUUAUUGAAUUAUUUAUUUAUGUUAAUUUAAAAUUGCUUGUUGGGCUGCAUUCAAAGCCAUCCUGGGCCACAAGUUGGACACCCUUGGUCUAAAUAUUCAAGUAAAGUGACAUGAAAAAAAAUAAGUUAUAUAGACUAAUAAGCUCAUAAACAUUUAUAUAAGAUUAGGCUGAUCUAAUCAUCUAGAGCCAUUGUUCAUAUAUAUGUCAGCCAACUAGCUCAAUAGGUAGCUUUUGUAGGGUUAAUUCUACAAGAGCUAUUUUGUUGAGCUGAUUAGCUGUCAUAUGUAGGAGUUAACAUAAUUCGAAUCUUUUAUAUUUUUUUCACUAUUCUCCAACAAAGUGGUGGUCUCCUCAUAUCUUUUUAAACCUGG
Molecule: long non-coding RNA, 446 nt
Filed under: Androctonus crassicauda
Lineage: Eukaryota; Metazoa; Arthropoda; Arachnida; Scorpiones; Buthidae
Source: RNAcentral